CAAGUCGAACGAGAACUUUCUCUGUAGCAAUACAGAGGAAGUUUUAGUGGCGAACGGGUGCGUAACACGUGGGCAAUCUGCCUUAAAGUGGGGGAUAGCUCGGCGAAAGCCGAAUUAAUACCGCAUGUGGUCAGCCAAGACAUCUUGGCGAAACCAAAGCCGGGGCAACCUGGCGCUUUUAGAGGAGCCCGCGGCCUAUCANCUAGUUGGUGAGGUAACGGCUCACCAAGGCUAUGACGGGUAGCUGGUCUGAGAGGACGACCAGUCACACUGGAACUGAGACACGGUCCAGACACCUACGGGUGGCAGCAGUCGAGAAUUUUUCUCAAUGGGGGAAACCCUGAAGGAGCGACGCCGCGUGGAGGAUGAAGGCUUUCGGGUUGUAAACUCCUGUCAUUUGGGAACAAGGUGCACAUGUUAACUGCGUGUGCAUUGAUAGUACCAGAAGAGGAAGAGACGGCUAACUCUGUGCCAGCAGCCGCGGUAAUACAGAGGUCUCAAGCGUUGUUCGGAUUCAUUGGGCGUAAAGGGUGCGUAGGUGGCGCGGUAAGUCGGGUGUGAAAUCUCGGAGCUUAGCUCCGAAAUUGCAUUCUAUACUGCCGUGCUUGAGGACUGGAGAGGAGACUGGAAUUCAUGGUGUAGCAGUGAAAUGCGUAUAGAUCAUGAGGAAUACCAGUGGCGAAGGCGGGUCUCUGGACAGUUCCUGACACUGAGGCACGAAGGCCAGGGGAGCAAACGGGAUUAAUACCCCGGU
Molecule: ribosomal RNA, 754 nt
Filed under: uncultured Verrucomicrobiota bacterium
Lineage: Bacteria; Pseudomonadati; Verrucomicrobiota
Description: bacterial SSU rRNA
Rfam family: Bacterial small subunit ribosomal RNA
Source: RNAcentral